UACGGAGGGGGGCUAGCGUUGUUCGGAAUUACUGGGCGUAAAGCGCACGUAGGCGGCUUUGCAAGUUAGAGGUGAAAGCCCGGGGCUCAACCCCCGGAAUUGCCUUUAAAACUGCAUCGCUAGAAUUGUGGAGAGGUAAGUGGAAUUCCGAGUGUAGAGGUGAAAUUCGUAGAUAUUCGGAAGAACACCAGUGGCGAAGGCGACUUACUGGACACAUAUUGACGCUGAGGUGCGAAAGCGUGGGGAGCAAACAGG
RNAcentral lists this ribosomal RNA (255 nucleotides) under uncultured bacterium. Its description in RNAcentral is "partial 16S ribosomal RNA". It matches the Rfam family "Bacterial small subunit ribosomal RNA", at positions 524 to 776 of the family's 1533-position model. The record is from RNAcentral.